GGGUCCGAUCAUACCAGCACUAAUGCUCCGGAUCCCAUCAGAACUCCGCAGUUAAGCAUAUUUGGGAGAGAGUAGAACUAGCAUGGGUGACCUCCUGAGAAGUCCUCGUGUUGCACCCC
Molecule: ribosomal RNA, 119 nt
Filed under: Gossypium raimondii (Peruvian cotton)
Lineage: Eukaryota; Viridiplantae; Streptophyta; Magnoliopsida; Malvales; Malvaceae
Source: RNAcentral